This 218-nucleotide long non-coding RNA is filed under the name Elaeis guineensis (African oil palm). RNAcentral's name for it is "long non-coding RNA (EGUI_LNC055061)". The record is from RNAcentral. Lineage: Eukaryota; Viridiplantae; Streptophyta; Magnoliopsida; Arecales; Arecaceae.
GGGAGGCCUUGAACAGAUCCAAAGCUCUCUUGCCAUAUGGCAUGGCUCUCACUGUGAUUUUUAGAGAGUCUAGAGUGAGUUUUGAGGAGAUGGUUGUUUGUAGACUGUCAUACACCGAUACCUAUAACAACCACUCCCUUCGGUGCAUGGGGUUUGUCAGAGUUGAUGGCCGUUGGGCCAAGGGCCGUGCAGCUGCAGUUGAGGAGGAGGAUGAUGAG